UAGCUAAUGACAGGAUCCAGAAAGUGGU
This 28-nucleotide non-coding RNA is filed under the name Mus musculus (house mouse). Lineage: Eukaryota; Metazoa; Chordata; Mammalia; Rodentia; Muridae. The record is from RNAcentral.